CGGCUAAAUACAAAGGCCAACAUGUUUCAUAAACAUGUUGCUCAAUCCGCAGCUUGCCCAAGCUGUCAAGACCCAUUCGAGGAUGCUCUUCACCUCAUCUCCACCUGCUCCUAUGCAACACAAGUCUGGACUAGCCUGGGACUGUCUGCCCCAGCCUCCCUCACUGCUCUUCACCAACACCCGCUGAUUCAGGGUCUCAAGCCCAACAUCUGGCCAUCGAUGGCCUUGACCGUUUCUUGGAAACUCUGGGACUCGAGAAAUGCUCUUGUUUUCAGGAAUGAAGAUCACUCUCUCAAAACAACGCUAAGAAAUAUUGUAGCAGUCUUCUCUCUCUGGGUUUUCCAUUUCAAAAAACAU
This 357-nucleotide ribosomal RNA is filed under the name Triticum aestivum (bread wheat). RNAcentral's name for it is "partial small subunit ribosomal RNA". The record is from RNAcentral. Lineage: Eukaryota; Viridiplantae; Streptophyta; Magnoliopsida; Poales; Poaceae.